Molecule: ribosomal RNA, 459 nt
Filed under: Streptococcus anginosus
Lineage: Bacteria; Bacillati; Bacillota; Bacilli; Lactobacillales; Streptococcaceae
Description: bacterial SSU rRNA
Rfam family: Bacterial small subunit ribosomal RNA
Source: RNAcentral
GACGAACGCUGGCGGCGUGCCUAAUACAUGCAAGUAGGACGCACUGUUUAUACCGUAGCUUGCUACACCAUAGACUGUGAGUUGCGAACGGGUGAGUAGCGCGUAGGUAACCUGCCUAUUAGAGGGGGAUAACUAUUGGAAACGAUAGCUAAUACCGCAUAACAGUAUGUAACACAUGUUAGAUGCUUGAAAGAUGCAAUUGCAUCGCUAGUAGAUGGACCUGCGUUGUAUUAGCUAGUAGGUAGGGUAAAGGCCUACCUAGGCAACGAUACAUAGCCGACCUGAGAGGGUGAUCGGCCACACUGGGACUGAGACACGGCCCAGACUCCUACGGGAGGCAGCAGUAGGGAAUCUUCGGCAAUGGGGGGAACCCUGACCGAGCAACGCCGCGUGAGUGAAGAAGGUUUUCGGAUCGUAAAGCUCUGUUGUUAAGGAAGAACGAGUGUGAGAAUGGAAAGU